RNAcentral lists this long non-coding RNA (252 nucleotides) under Elaeis guineensis (African oil palm). Its description in RNAcentral is "long non-coding RNA (EGUI_LNC052898)". The record is from RNAcentral. Lineage: Eukaryota; Viridiplantae; Streptophyta; Magnoliopsida; Arecales; Arecaceae.
UUCCACGCCAUAAAGAACUCAUGCUAAUCUUCAUUAGCAUGUGAGUAGUGGCAUGAUAGAAGAGAGAGUCCCAUUCAAAUGGGACUCCUUAUGACCCAAUCCUAUUUGACUUGGUUUUGGUUCAAAACCAAAUCCAAAUUGAUUCCAAUCGCAAUCCAAUUAGGAACUAAGUCCAAAUCACAUUUUGACUUGAAUCAAACCUAAUUAAAUCUGAUUUAAUUUGACUAGGAUCAAGAUUCAAUUUAUUUGAUC